This 3282-nucleotide long non-coding RNA is filed under the name Triticum aestivum (bread wheat). Its description in RNAcentral is "long non-coding RNA (TAES_LNC017142)". Lineage: Eukaryota; Viridiplantae; Streptophyta; Magnoliopsida; Poales; Poaceae. The record is from RNAcentral.
UCAUUUGUGCAGGAGCUGCCCCGCUUUUAUGAAGGACAUGAUCCUUGGCGUGCUGCCAGCUAAGUAGGAGUUUCAUCAUCAUAUUGGUUCUUCGGUUGCUUACAUGAACUCGAACCUCGUUGUUUAGGUUGGCCGUGCCUACAGCAAGAUUGAUAACCAUUGGAAAUUCCUUUAGCGAUUGUCGGGGCGUAUCGUCUGGUACAAUAUAGCCGGAUCGUCAAGGUCAAAACCACCAAAUCAAUAUUUAUCCUACUUUAACCGAAAGAUCGGGCUGCCGUCACAUCACAAUCACGCCUCCAUAAGACCCAGAGUACAACCAAUGGGGAACAUACUCUCUUUGUUAUGUUGCGAUUGGAAUUUUUGUGCUGGUUUCGCGAUCUAUUACUCAUUUCACAUUAUGGUUUUAUUGAUAGCUAAAAAAUCUCGCAGCAUUGCACAAGGUACCAUCCAAUUAUGAACAUGAACAAUGACAAUUCUCAUUAACGGGCAGCCUUGGCAAUAUUCUCCCUGCUACUACUGCAUAUAUUUAGUGGUGUGUCACAAUUUGUUUUGAGGCAACACAAUUUGUUUCAAUAGAGGGUGUAGCGCUUAGUGGGCUAAAAACUAACAAAUUGGCCGAACACGAUAUUGAGAGAAAGGGAAGAAAGCCUUGAGGCCCAGCAGGCUAGCCCAGUGAGCAUUGCACGCUCGCAGCACUGCAUGACAAUAUUGAUCGAUCUACGACGGUCGAUGGAUCGCACCACUCCGGACCAGGGCUUGAGCGCACCAAUCCAAUCGUAGUAGUACUAGCUCUAGUCCCUUACGGCGGCGGCGCCACAGCAGACCAGCGAACGGAAGCGGCAGGCGCACAAGACAGGACCGGCAAGGCGGCAGUUCGGCGGUGCAGCAACCAGCAGUCACGGCACCGCCGCACCGGGCAGUGGGUCAUGUACUAGCUCCUUGCAUUCCCUCUCUUCAAUCCUCGAAAUUUGAAUCGUUUCUUGCACUGAGAAAUUACAACAUUGGUUUGUUACAGUGAAUUCUAAACAUAUGCAUUCAUCGGCAUGUUAUAUUUGCAGCCGAGUUGAAACAAAAGGUGGCUUCUAUUUGUUACUACUACAAUCUGUUUGCAGAAACCAGUCUUGUUGCCAUCUUGUAUUUGUGGUCAUGAUCACGAUUGAAUGCGAUUUCAAAGGCGUUGGUUGCAUUUGACAAAGUGCCAUUAACUGAGGGCAUGCAUAUAGGUGAGCAAGUCACCUUGAGCGUUGUGCUAUUGAAGGCUCUCAUUGACAACCGUCUGAGUCCUGUGCUGAUGUGCUAUUGAAGGGUCGUGGAGUCCCUAGACAGCCCUCGAGUCACGUCCUAGUGUGUUCGUGUUCACAUGUAAAACCUUUUUUUUUUGUGUUCAUGACCGUCGUCGUCUGUAUAUAAGAUGAAAGAUGAAGUAAUAAAGUGUUGGAAUAGCUAAGCUGGUCACCAACCAGAGUUCUAGUGCGUCUCCUUCCGGUGUAAGUGUAGCCAUAGUGAUAUUGGCCAUAGUAUGCUCGCUUAGGCUCAAAUUCAACAGCUUCUCCUCCCACACAUACCGGCCCGCGAGGUACGGCAAUCCUCCAUUGAUUGGUUCGCGUGCCACUGCAGCUCUCUCUCUCUCUCUCUCUCUCUCUCUCUCUCUCUCUCUCUCUCUCUCAGAUUUACUUGUGUGCUACAUCCUAAUGUUUCACCACUUGCAGUUGCAGAUUCAUCAAUCCAUGAUGUUCUUCGCGGGUGUAUCAGUAAUCGUCGACGGCAAGCUCGUGCACGCCACCACCUCCCCGACUACUGCCAGCGCCAGCGGGUACCACUUGCUUGUUGUUGAAGGCCAGUCGUGCACUCCAGAACCUAUUAAGUCUCGCUGUUUCAUAAUCGGAGGCCAUCGCUGGUACAUCAUGUUCUACCCCAAUGACGAACACCUGAACAACAAUGGAUAUAUAACCCUUUGGCUUCACCUCCAUAAGGAAGAGGCACCGGCUACAGAGACCGUGAAGGCACAGUUCAAGUUCAGUUUCGUUGACGAGACCGACAAGCACAAGCCGGCAUGCAUCCAUGGUAGAAAAUUAUCCGAGUUUGAAGCUGGCGGCAACGACGAGGGACGGGAGGCAAUGGGGAAAUCUGAACACCUCAAGGACGACAGUUUCACCAUCCGGUGCGACAUCGUGGUUGUCACGGAAGAAGUGAUCACCACCACCGGACCCACGGCCACCGCUUCUUCGUUAAUUGUGGUGCCGCCGUCCAACAUGCAACGAAACUUCACCGAUCUUCUCCUGACCGGAGAGGGCACCGAUGUGGCCUUCCGAGUCGGCGGCGAGACGUUUGCCGCCCACCGAUGCGUUCUCGCGGCCCGGUCUACCGUCUUCAGGGCGUUGCUCUUCGGUCCGAUGAAGGAAGGCACGUCCGCCAUGGUGCAGAUAGAUGACAUGAACGCAGCAGUGUUCAAGGCGAUGUUAGGGUUCAUCUACGGAGACUCACUUCCUGCACCAGCAGUGCAGGACGAGGACGUCGUUAUGCUGCCGCACCUUCUUGCUACAGCCGACAGGUACGACCUGCUGAGGCUGAGGAUGAUGUGGGAGAAGAAGCUGUGCGAGCACAUCAACGUGAGCACCGCGGCAGUCAUCCUGGCGCUCGCCGAGCAGCACGGCUGUGAAGGGCUGAAGAAGGCAUGCAGCGAGUUCCUCCGGUGUCCAGACAACCUGAGAGCGGUGCUAGCCACGGACGGCUUUGAUCAUUUGUGCAGGAGCUGCCCCACUCUCAUGAAGGACAUGAUACUUGGUGUGCUGCCGCCUGCCGGCUAAGUAGGACUUUCAUCAUCAUAUUGGUCGACAGCUCUUAUGUUCCUGUGAAUUUCCCACUUCCCUUGCUUACUGUAUUUGUCGUCGCAGAAGAAAAAGGGAAUGAAAGUUAAGUACGACUUUGUUCGAGAAGACUCAUGGAUGCUGCAGGCGAUGGGGUUGGUACCAUUUCUGACACUGGAUCAAGGAUCGAUGACGUUUUCUAGCUUGCGACGAAUUGCCAUCUUCAGUAUUGUUUCCCCCUUGUUGUGCUUAUUGGUGAAUUGUUUUUAUAAAGGUGUACUGCCUCCGUGUGGAUCUUUGUAUUCUCGAGGAUGUUAUUUGUUUACAUGCUAGCCUUUUGAACCUUGAAUGAAGUCCUAGUGGUUUCCUUAAUUAAAUUGGAGAAAUCCCUUUUAUGAGAAAAAAAUAGGAGACGAAAAGUUGUGGUCAUUUUGUUUUCCCCUCUGACGUGUUUGUUACUUGUUAGUUCAUUUUG